ACUCAAAGGAAUUGACGGGGGCCCGCACAAGCAGCGGAGCGUGUGGUUUAAUUCGAGGCUACACGAAGAACCUUACCCAGGUUUGACAUGCGGGUGGUAGGGAAGGGAAACCGGACCGACCGCAAGGAGCUCGCACAGGUGCUGCAUGGCUGUCGUCAGCUCGUGUCGUGAGAUGUUCGGUUAAGUCCGAAAACGAGCGCAACCCCCGGGUCUAGUUACACGUGUCUAGACCGACUGCCCGUGAGAAACGGGAGGAAGGUGGGGAUGACGUCAAGUCAGCAUGGCCUUUAUGCCUGGGGCAACACACACGCUACAAUGGGCGGUACAAUAGGUCGCGAACCCGCGAGGGGGAGCCAAUCUAGGAAAGCCGUUCACAGUUCGGAUUGCAGGCUGCAACUCGCCUGCAUGAAGCUGGAGUUGCUAGUAACCGCGCGUCAGCCAUAGUGCGGUGAAUACGUUCCCGGGCCUUGUACACACCGCCCGU
RNAcentral lists this ribosomal RNA (484 nucleotides) under uncultured bacterium. RNAcentral's name for it is "partial 16S ribosomal RNA". It matches the Rfam family "Bacterial small subunit ribosomal RNA", at positions 899 to 1397 of the family's 1533-position model. The record is from RNAcentral.